Molecule: long non-coding RNA, 1083 nt
Organism: Homo sapiens (human)
Lineage: Eukaryota; Metazoa; Chordata; Mammalia; Primates; Hominidae
Gene: SPATA8
Product: spermatogenesis associated 8
Source: Ensembl
AGUUGCGUCCGUUGGGGCUUCUGGGGCAGCCCACAGGGUUCCGAGCAUGUGCUGGCAGUUGCUCUUUGGAGCACCCACUUCACUUCUCCCAUGUAGUUCCUGAGUGCAGGACUCUCCUGAAGAAGGGGCGUCUAAAAGGCCAGCCCAUGCAUCUUGUUCAGACCAGGCUGCUCCAUCUCCGCUAAGCCCAGGGAUCCACUUGUGUGUCUUUCUGGGAUAAUUGUCUUUAGUGGCAGCCUGGGCCUCGGGGAAGGAAGGGCAUGAGGAAUGGCCCCGGCUGGGAUGUCAGGGGCCCAGGACAACUCCUGUCUCUACCAGGAAAUUGCCCCCUCUUUUCAGAGGCUGCCUUGUCCUAGAACCUCGUCGCGACAUUUCUCAGAAGCCAUGACAUGUCCCUGCGGCUGGAGGCCUUUCAAGGGUGGCCCAGGAGGCCUCAAGGGCCCGGUGUGGCCUGCAAAGGAAGAGAACAGCUGUUCUCACGGAAGGAUCCAAAGGGUUCAAAGGCGAAGGGUGCCAUCUGCUUCCCCACUGAUUCAGAAGAUAAACAGGAGAAGUGUCCUGUUUCACCCAUAUUGCUGGUCCUGAUUUUUCAAUAGUGUCCCUACCCUGAAGCUCUUCCAUUGGUCAUCAUGGAGUUAGCUAACAGCCCAGGGAACUGGUCUCUUUUCCCUUUUCCCUUACCACCUGGAACUCACCUGGAAAGGGCAAUCAGCUGGCUCUAUAUCAGACGCCACCACCUGGUCUUUGAAGUUUCUGUCCUACCAGUGCCACAGCUCCCUCUCCCACUUCUGAACUACCUCCAAGAGAGACCAUCCUCAGCAGCCUAGUAUGUUAUGCUAGUCCUGGAAUGGUGUAUUCUGGAUGUCUACUCAAGGCCAAACCCCAGUAUUGCCUUUCGUUUCCCUAUUCAAGGCCAAGGCUAGAUUCUCUUCAUUGUCUCCAUUUCUCUUUCUCCAGAGCUCCUAUAGGGCAAGACACUGUUUCUCAUAUAUUUCUGGAUCCUUGGAGCUUAGCUCGGAGCUUGGCAUACAUGCCCAGCAUGAACUUUUCUGAAUAAAAUAAUUUCAAAUGCUGUAUACAGGA